This is a long non-coding RNA of Strigops habroptila (Kakapo), 854 nucleotides long. RefSeq lists it as uncharacterized. NCBI's taxonomy places the organism in Eukaryota, Metazoa, Chordata, Aves, Psittaciformes, Psittacidae. The record is from RefSeq and is a predicted model, not a curated record. The transcript has 4 exons.
AAACUGUUUGUUUUCCAAAAGUAUACUGUUUAUGGGACUAUUCCUGAGAAGGGAGAGCUCAAGAAAUCUCUGUAACAUCUUUGGAUGAAACGGAUACUGAAAAAUGUAAAGUGAAAGGAUGAAGCCCAUCAGUCCCCAGACUGGAUUGCCUUCACUUGCCUUGCUGGAGUUUGACUGUUAUCUGACGCAUACCCUAUGCAUGGCUGGGGAACAUGAGAAUGAGCAGCAUAUGACUAGAGGUGCUAUGUAAAUCUACAGUACUUCCUUGCAGCCCAUUACAAUGGAGAAAAUAAAUGAGUGCUGAAGUGAUUGCAGCAGGUUUGGAGAUUCCAUUUUGUAACAGAAUGGCUUCUAUCCAGGGAUGGAUCUCUGCUUUAUUAGAGAGAUGCAUAAAGAUAUUAUUAUCUCUGGGGGAAGAAAGAUAUGUGCACAAAGAGUGUGUUUAUGGGUACUCCUGAACAGGUGGGCUUGCUUGGGUUCUGCAGGAGAGCGAGACCGACAAAGGAAUCUUUUCAACUGGCUAGCUGGAGGUCACACACUAGAAUUUCCAUUAAUGCUACACUCUGUUAACUCUGUAGUUGAAGCCUGGGAAGAAAACUUCAAAUAAAUCCACAAAGGAGUUCAUGAAAGUUGAAAAGCCAGUGAUAGAAGUAAUCUAAUAAAGAUUUACGUUUUCCUCUUGUUCAAAUGUCAUCUUUGGAAUUUGCUGAAAAAUCAGCUACUUUAUCUGUACUAAACAUUUUCCCCUCUGUACUGGAAUUUUUAACUUUUACAUUGUGCUUGAGGAUAUUUAGGGAUUAUUUUUUUAGGAGUAUUAAACAGUUGUUACCAUAAUAUUACAUAAAAACAUGUCA